GGGGCCCCUGUCACUGCACUGCAAUGCCCUGGAUUGAUGCUUUGCCACAGCUGCAGCUCUGGGGAUUUUUCCAUCCUGAAAGAACAUCAGUUUCUGCUAUUAGUUUUCACAGCUUUUUGUCCCAUGACCUAAAGAGAAUAACUGAAGAUCAAAAUUAUUUCCUAUGUUCUUCAAAGAAAUAUGGGAUAUCCGUUUGUUCCUGGAACAUUCAAAAUCCUUCCCACAAUGUUUCAGGCAGUAACACACUGCAAUAGAGCCUUUCAUCUGUUUCUUCA
Long non-coding RNA from Passer domesticus (house sparrow), 275 nucleotides. RefSeq lists it as uncharacterized. The transcript has 3 exons. NCBI's taxonomy places the organism in Eukaryota, Metazoa, Chordata, Aves, Passeriformes, Passeridae. The record is from RefSeq and is a predicted model, not a curated record.